This 491-nucleotide ribosomal RNA is filed under the name uncultured bacterium. RNAcentral's name for it is "partial 16S ribosomal RNA". It matches the Rfam family "Bacterial small subunit ribosomal RNA", at positions 29 to 506 of the family's 1533-position model. The record is from RNAcentral.
AGUGAACGCUGGCGGUAGGCCUAACACAUGCAAGUCGAACGGCAGCACAGUAAGAGCUUGCUCUUACGGGUGGCGAGUGGCGGACGAGUGAGGAAUACAUCGGAAUCUACUUUUUCGUGGGGGAUAACGUAGGGAAACUUACUCUAAUACCGCAUACGACCUACGGGUGAAAGCAGGGGAUCUUCGGACCUUGCGCGAUUGAAUGAGCCGAUGUCGGAUUAGCUAGUUGGCGGGGUAAAGGCCCACCAAGGCGACGAUCCGUAGCUGGUCUGAGAGGAUGAUCAGCCACACUGGAACUGAGACACGGUCCAGACUCCUACGGGAGGCAGCAGUGGGGAAUAUUGGACAAUGGGCGCAAGCCUGAUCCAGCCAUACCGCGUGGGUGAAGAAGGCCUUCGGGUUGUAAAGCCCUUUUGUUGGGAAAGAAAAGCAGCAGGUUAAUACCCCGCUGUUCUGACGGUACCCAAAGAAUAAGCACCGGCUAACUUCGU